GGAGGAGUGGCCGAGCGGUUGAAGGCACCGGUCUCGAAAACCGGCAUCCGUCUAGAGCGGAUCGUGGGUUCGAAUCCCACCUCCUCCGCCA
Molecule: transfer RNA, 91 nt
Filed under: Candidatus Saccharibacteria bacterium QS_5_54_17
Lineage: Bacteria; Candidatus Saccharimonadota
Description: tRNA-Ser
Rfam family: tRNA
About the family: Transfer RNA (tRNA) molecules are approximately 80 nucleotides in length. Their secondary structure includes four short double-helical elements and three loops (D, anti-codon, and T loops). Further hydrogen bonds mediate the characteristic L-shaped molecular structure. tRNAs have two regions of fundamental functional importance: the anti-codon, which is responsible for specific mRNA codon recognition, and the 3' end, to which the tRNAs corresponding amino acid is attached (by aminoacyl-tRNA synthetases). tRNAs cope with the degeneracy of the genetic code in two manners: having more than one tRNA (with a specific anti-codon) for a particular amino acid; and 'wobble' base-pairing, i.e. permitting non-standard base-pairing at the 3rd anti-codon position.
Source: RNAcentral